Long non-coding RNA from Phodopus roborovskii (desert hamster), 600 nucleotides. RefSeq lists it as uncharacterized. NCBI's taxonomy places the organism in Eukaryota, Metazoa, Chordata, Mammalia, Rodentia, Cricetidae. The transcript is spliced from 3 exons. The record is from RefSeq and is a predicted model, not a curated record.
UAGAGACCACAUCGCUGCCGCAGAGGCACACCGGGAGCAUCCUGCUGACUUACCCAGCUCGGGCUGCAGUCCUUUAAGCAAUACAAAACGCAGCCAUUUCCUCAAACCCUAACUUCAUCGCUGAUGUAGAUUCUUCUCAACCUAACAGCUUAGCCUGGGUUUCAUGAAGCACUGGCUAACUAGCCAUAUUGAACUGCGGAGGGAGCCUGUGGAUGAGCUCCCCACCCGUUAGCCUCCUCCUCACUCUCCCCUCUGUGUGCCCUGCUGCAUCCUGCCUAGAUGCAAGAGCAGCUCGCCGGAGGCUUCCACCUCGGCUCCCAGGGGGACAUCCUGCAAAAUGAAUCAGCAGCCAUCCUGAGCAGGCUGAUUAAAAUGAAAAUGGCAAGGCACAUGUCUGGGCGGAACUGGAGCUCAGCUUUGUUGCCUGUCUGACAAGCAAGCUCAAUAUAGCUCUUGCUAAUAAUGGCUUACUGCCUUUCGGUUUUUAAAAAGGGCAGGCUGAUGCACUGAUGUGUGGUCCUUAAGAUAAGUUGUCCCUGGAAUCUGCUGCAACAGCACUCUGCUCUCAACACACCACUACUGCAUUGACUUCAACCUCAU